Molecule: ribosomal RNA, 508 nt
Filed under: uncultured Glomus
Lineage: Eukaryota; Fungi; Glomeromycota; Glomeromycetes; Glomerales; Glomeraceae
Description: SSU rRNA
Rfam family: Eukaryotic small subunit ribosomal RNA
Source: RNAcentral
AGCAGCCGCGGUAAUUCCAGCUCCAAUAGCGUAUAUUAAAGUUGUUGCAGUUAAAAAGCUCGUAGUUGAAUUUCGGGAUCAGCGCGUCGGUCGUGCCUCCGGUAUGCACUGGCGCCGCUGGUUUCUCCCUUCUGAGGAACCGUGAUGUCAUUAAUUUGGUGUUGCGGGAAAUCAGGACUGUUACUUUGAAAAAUUAGAGUGUUUAAAGCGGGCACGCGCUUGAAUACAUUAGCAUGGAAUAACGAAAUAGGACGUUCGAUCUUAUUUUGUUGGUUUCUAGGAUUGACGUAAUGAUUAAUAGGGAUAGUUGGGGGCAUUAGUAUUCAAUUGUCAGAGGUGAAAUUCUUGGAUUUAUUGAAGACUAACUACUGCGAAAGCAUUUGCCAAGGAUGUUUUCAUUAAUCAAGAACGAAAGUUAGGGGAUCGAAGACGAUCAGAUACCGUCGUAGUCUUAACCAUAAACUAUGUCGACUAGGGAUCGGAUGAUGUUAAUUUUAUAAUGACUCAU